AUUGAACGCUGGCGGCACGCCUUACACAUGCAAGUCGAACGGCAGCACGGGAGCAAUCCUGGUGGCGAGUGGCGAACGGGUGAGUAAAGUAUCGGAACGUGCCCAGUCGUGGGGGAUAACGUAGCGAAAGUUACGCUAAUACCGCAUACGAUCUAUGGAUGAAAGCGGGGGAUCGCAAGACCUCGCGCGAGUGGAGCGGCCGAUAUCAGAGUAGGUGGUUGGUGGGGUAAAGGCUCACCAAGCCGACGAUCUGUAGCUGGUCUGAGAGGACGACCAGCCACACUGGGACUAUGACACGGCCCAGACUCCUACGGGAGGCAGCAGUGGGGAAUUUUGGACAAUGGGCGAAAGCCUGAUCCAGCCAUGCCGCGUGCAGGAUGAAGGCCUUCGGGUUGUAAACUGCUUUUGUACGGAACGAAAAGGUUUGGGCUAAUAAGCUGAGCUCAUGACGGUACCGUAAGAAUAAGCACCGGCUAACUACGUGCCAGCCGCCGCCGUAA
This 500-nucleotide ribosomal RNA is filed under the name uncultured bacterium. Its description in RNAcentral is "partial 16S ribosomal RNA". It matches the Rfam family "Bacterial small subunit ribosomal RNA", at positions 30 to 523 of the family's 1533-position model. The record is from RNAcentral.